Molecule: long non-coding RNA, 6536 nt
Filed under: Malus domestica (apple)
Lineage: Eukaryota; Viridiplantae; Streptophyta; Magnoliopsida; Rosales; Rosaceae
Description: long non-coding RNA (MDOM_LNC007101)
Source: RNAcentral
ACAAAGACAAGGAGAAGGACAUGGAGAAAGCAUGAUAUGAGAUACUCUUGCUUUCAACCUUUAUGAUAUGAAAUACUUUUGCUUUGAAUAGGUUGUUCGCAGGAGUAUCCCAAGGAAUGAGGAACACAGAGUGACUCGAGAGGAUUCUUUGGGAAUGCAUUUUCGGAGAUGAAGAGGUGCUGAGAGGGUGUGCUGAGAGAGUGUGCUUUUGCUGUGGAAGGCGAAGGUAGAAACUUAUAGGACUUGUCUUCACAACCGGAACUGUUCUCUCACUUAGUGUCGGCAGCCGGUGGAUGGGUGAAGAAUACAAAUUACGCGCUUUCUGACAAAGCUGCCCGUAAUUUCCGCAAAGCUGAUUCCUCAUUGAUAUCUGUAAUCGGCGCUUCGAGCUCUGAGCAUCGUCGAUUGUAGAGGUAGCAUGUGACACGUGCGGAUAAAUCUGGAAAAGAAGAUUUUCCCGUGGGUUGAAGCCCAGCUUUUGAGAAAGCUAGCGUGUCUUUGACUGUUGAAUUUCCCUCUUCGAUUUCUGAAUUGGUGCUUCGACAAAUUGCCCGAGAUUUCCGCAAAGCAAUUUGCGUGUGACAAGUGACGACACGUCUGGACAAAUUGAUCUUUUGAAAUCCGGGGUUCGGCUCGUGGUUUCUGAGCAAGCCCAGCCUUUAAGAAAUGAAACGCCUCUUUUGAGAAAAGAAUCCGGCUUUUGAGAAAGGAAACUCCUCUUUUGAGAAAAGAAUCAGACGUUUUGAGAACGGAGCCCCGACUCUUCGAUUUGCGAGAGGACGCUUCUCUGAGGAGCGCCUCUUUGAUUUCUUCCUUUUUAUAGAGACGUUAAGCUUGUUCCACAACACACUUGAGUACCCUCCCGUAAACACUCCCUUCUUGCACUUGUUUAAUCUUGAUCAUUCCGACUCUCUUCUUGUCUUUACCACCUCUGAAAAAUGUCUGGCCCUUCUGAUCGUCGUUUUGACUUGAACAUUGGUGAAGAGGCAGCUCCGCCUUCACCAGACAACAUAUGGCGGCCAUCCUUCAUAUCCCUACCGGUCCCCUUACCGUGGGGGAUUCGAUGAUGAAAAAUGACAUGACCGCUGCGGUGGUGGCCCGAAACCUUGUCACUCCCAGAGAUAACAGACUGCUCGCAAGGCGGUCUGAUGAAUUGGCAGUCAAGGAGUCUCUGGCUCUUCAGUGUGCAGUGUGCGGGUUCCGUAUCCAACAUGGCCCAACGCCUAUAUGCCCGAACCCGUCACGUUGAAUCCUUGGUGGCUGAAAUACAGAGUCUCAAGCAAGAGAUUAAAGGGCUCAAGCAUGAGAAUAAGGAAUUGCACAAGCUCGCACACAGCUAUGCCACCAGCAUGAAGAGGAAGAUUGACCAGAUGCAGGACACCGAUGGUCAAAUUUUACUUGAUCAUCGGAGGUUUGUGGGUUUGUUCCAACCGCAUCUGCCUUCGUCUUCUGGGGGCGGCACCGCGUAGUGAAGCUCCAACUGAUCAACCUCUGCCGCCUCCUCCUUCUGUGGCCCCGCCGACUGCUGAAGCCCCGCCUACUACUGAAGCACCACCCGACCAAUGAAUACUAUUAGUUUACAUCAUUGUAAAAUAUUUGUACUUUUUUUUUUUUUUUUUUUUUUUUUUUUUUUUUUUUUUUUUUGUAAUUUUUUUUUUUUUUUUUUUUUUUUUUCAUUAAUUUUAAAUUUUAUCUUUUUUUUUUUUUUUUUUUGUAAAUUAAAGUAGAAAGACUUUGGUUAACCUUCCCCCACACUUAAACUAAAUAACACAAACUCACAGAAAUCAAACAAAUAACACAACUAACUAAAACAAACAAAAUGAAAGCAGUAAAGAUAAGGGUGUAAAAAUGCAAAUCUGAUUGGGUUAGCGAUUCCAAAGUCUCCCUUCGUUGAAUGCUUGGGUUGCCUCCCAAGAAGCGCUUGAUUUAACGUCUUUAGCCGGACGCAUCUUUCCUUUAAAUUUCCCUCAGCUCCAUUUGUGCCUAAAAUCAAAGAAAGAAAAAUAAAUCAAAUAUCAAAAGUAAAAUACACAAACACCAAUAUAAACAUAAACAAAAACAAAAAUAAAAGGAUUAGCAAAGUUACUAAUCCCCGGCAACGGCGCCAAAAUUUGAUGCGUAAAAUUACUUGACACACAAAUUAAACCCUCUUUUUGACAAUUGUAGUAUAGAUGUAAGUAGGGUAUCGUUCUAGGCCGGGGAUUAGGAGGGAUUGCUAAUCUAUUCUAAAUUAAUUUAAAAAUAUUAAAUAAGACUCAAGGACACAAAAUUAGGCUAAAAACUCUAAUAACUCGAAACACACUUAAAAUGACUCAAAAUAAUGAAAACAAUUAAAUUAAACACUAGGAACUGAAAUGGACGGAAAUUAAAUUAAAAGACUAACAAUAAAGAAAACUAACUAAAUAAUAUAAUUUAAUAAUGGAUGGGUGUUUGGUUUUGAUGAAAAGUAAAUUAAACUUAAUUAAAUUACAGAAUUGAUAAAAACAUAAAAUUAAGGUAAAAUGAUAAAUGACGGACUAGCUAGAGGGUUCUUCUCCACACAUGUUAUACUUGCAUACAAAAUGAUUUCCAGUUGUUCAUUUAAUAAAUUGUGAAUCUCAAUACUCCAGAUUAACCGUGAACAGCACUUUUUUAAUCUUCAAGUUUUCCUUAAGUUAUUGAAUUGGACGGGAAAAACGCAUACAACAAUUCAAAACAUUCUUCAAAAGUCCCCUACGUGAAAAGCACAAUAGAGAUACAAUCAAAGAUCAUUAAACUUUGUGAAAACUAUAAGCAUUGACGAGGCAUUCGUAACUAUGAAAAAGCAUGAUACUCUUGCCAAGAAUUUACUUAACGUGAUUGUGACUAGCAACCUUUACUACUUGUGAAAAUAAGUUCAUAACGAUUAGGUGAAAUUCACUUAUAUUCUAGCAUCAAAUUCAUGCAUGUAAAUUAAGCGUGCACUCUCAACCAACAUACACAAAUCAGUUUUUAUACGAACGGAUAAGUAAAUUGAAUUCACAACUUAUAACUCACAACUGAAGAUAAUCAAUUCAUAUUACAAAUAUAUUCAUGGUUUCGAAUUAACCUCUAACCAACAUAAAUUUAAUUACACAUUAUUAAAAACAGAAAUAAAAUAUGAGUUUGGAAGGAUUUAACCGAAAGAGAAGGGUGCUUGCUGCUUCUGUCUGUCUUCCUCCCCGAGGCUCACUGUCUUUCCCGCUCACCUCUGCCCUCACUUCUCGUCCCCGCAGUCCCGUGCUCCUUGCGCCACGUGCUGCAAGGCAGCUUCUCUCUCUCUCGCACCAGCUGCCAAAUGGCAGCUCUCAUCUUUCUUUUUUUAUAUAUUUUCUUUUUCUCCUUCUGCCGCAAGGCAGCUGUGCUGCCAGCCUUCUGUCCUCCCUUUAUUUUCUGCAGCUGUCCUCUCCUUGUUCUGCCAGUCAAGCUGCCAAAGGCAGCUUGUGACCUCACCUCAUGCUCAAGCUGCCCCGUUUCUUUUUUUAUCUUUCCUGCACGCUGCCUUCUGUUUCAUUCUUUCCCCUUUCUUCUAAUCCGUCCUCCUUGGAUCCUUUUAGCUGUCUCUCACUCAUCUCUCCACCGCUGCCCAAAAGCAGCUUUCUCCUUUAUUCUUCUUUUUUUUUAUUUCUGGCCUCACCUCCCCGUAGCUAAGUUGUCCUCCUCUUAUUUUCUGUUAUGCCACAAAACAUGAAUCAUGAUGAUGUUUCAAACAUCAUCAUGAUUUAUUAUUAUUAUUUCUUUUAUUAAUUUUAUGUAAAAGUUGAUUUACACAGACAGGUUUAACGAAUUUAUUACAUAAAAUUUCACUUGUUCUAUUUUUAUUUUCUUUGCAUAACAAAUCCUAUAAACACAAAAAUAACGUAAAUAGCUCAAAAAUAUAAGGAACUAACUAAGAAAAGACGAGUGAAUUCGAAGUAAAAAUAUAUAUAAAUAUGAUCCGAUCAAAUACCCCCACACUUAACUUUUGCUAGUCCUCGAGCAAAACAAAGGAAAACAUGAAAAAAGUAAUAACAAUGAAAAACAUUAGCUUCCCUCUAUGUGACCCUCAUAGAAUUUCAUUCAAGAAAACAAAUCAUCAAGAACCAUAGCUAGCACCAAACAAACUAAUCCAAGUUCAUCUUCCUAAUUCAAAUAUUAGCAGUAAUCUUUAAAUCAUCCUUGAAGUGUAGUGUGUGAGAUAGCCAUGCUAAUACAAUUUCAAAUUUUUUUAUAUUUUUAAAAUCAUCAUAUGCAAACUAGCGACCUUCUCACGGGAUAUGCACUCAAUCACACAUGUGUUUAGUUUUAAUGUGUUUCGCUCAAAAAAAAUCAAAUGUGAAAUUUCUACCAUAAGCUUGCAUAAAGAUCACUUGUCCACAGUCAUAAUUGCAAAACUUAAAUCAAGAGGACUUUUAUUGGAUGUAAUGAGGUUUAGGGAUAGGGUUAUUGAAACGAUAGAAUAGGAAAACACAAGUUCCAAGCUACAUUGCAAGCAAUUCUUUUCUUUAGAUUUAUAAGAACUCAAGCUCUCCAACGAUUCUUCUUAAACCUCCAACCACACCCUUAAACUGAAAAUUAAACAACUUUAAAAACAUUUUUUUUUUUCUUUUCUUUUCUUUUCUUCGUAUACAAUCUUUCUUUUUCUUUUUUUUUAUUUUUUUUUAUACAAACAUGAAAUACCCCCACACUUAUUUUUUUGCCAAACACCUUCAAAGUACUUACAAACAUUUCUCAUAAGACAAUCUCGCAUUGCUCGCUUGGAAAGGGUAAGGAAAAAAUGUUUCAGGUGUAAGGGUAGACAUAUCUGGUGAUAAGAAAUAAAAGGUUCAACAUACACGGCUCAAAUUGGCAAUCUAAUGAUAUCAUUUUUCUUUGGGAAACAUGGUUAUUUGGGCCAUGGUGGUAAACCUAAUGCCUCUAUCAUUUCCAAGUUCAUGCAAUCAAUGAUAAACAUUUCGAAAGAUCGUUACGCAAGUUCUAGAGAUAUAUCUCACAUAAGUUCAUCACACAUGAAAGAAUAGGAGUGUAUGAAAAAUGCACACACUUUCAAUAGGCUCAAAAACUCACAUAGGAUGUAUAUGGUCACUAAAUUCACAUAUGAAGCUUUAAGUCAUGCUUUAGUUUCACAUCAACAAGGCUAUGUGCAUUUGGUUUUUCAAAGAUGAUCAAACAUGUACAAAACUAACAAGAGAAUUAGGAAACUUCAUAAAACACAUGUUAACUAAGUUCUUGAUGAUCAUGAUUCAAAUUUUGAUCUAAUUAUAUCAUUGGGUCGGGAAACUAACAAAAAUCUAAUUCAAAACAAUAAGGGAAACAAGACAAUAUUUUUUGGAUUUUUUAAAAUUUUCCGAUUUUUUUUUUUUUUUUUUAUAGAGAAAACAAAACUAAAAAAAAUUAAAAAAAUAAAAAGCAACAACACAGAAACAAAUGAAAUUCUAGAGAUUUCUACCCCCACACUUAAACUUGACAUUGUCCCCAAUGUCAGAAAACACUAUAAUGCAAAAAUAAAUAAAAUAAACAAAAUAAUAAAAAAAAACAAAAUAAAGCAAUUGGACUGAAAACUUCCCUAAUUUGCAGUAAAAUCAAGCGAUGACCCUCAAGCUAAAAUUCUGCAAUCAACUUCAAGGGUGGAAAUAACCAAAAGUUCCUGCAAAGAAAAGGAAAAAUUCAGUUAAGUACGCAAGAAAAUUAAUUAAAAAAAAUAUUGCAAACGAAAAAUUGAAAAUUACGAUAAAAGAUAAUGAAUAAAACUAAUAAGUAAUCAUUGGUCGUGCUUGUUGACUUUCCACAGCUUUCCUCUUGAACAGGGUGACACUUAGCUUUUUACUUGCAAGUGAUGAUUUGAUGAUAUUGUACGGCGAAGCUUUGCUCUUUGGUUAUGUUGCAGUUCCUUAUUUGUUCUCCAAGCAGAUGUGGCAGCUUCUCUAGUUCCUCAGUUCGGACUCCUUCCGCUGGGAUGAUUGUGCAAGCUGCAUUCUUCUCUGCUUGUUUCUUCUGCACAACGGGCAGGCACGAGGGAAAGGUGUUGGUCCUUAUUUCUUUCUUCAAUCUUUCCAAGUGCCCACCUCUUGCUUUCUUUCUCCUUGUCCCUAGCUGAAUUGUCUCCACAUGCUUCGAGGUAUCAUUUUCACUUCCCUUACUGUCCCCCAGGCAGAUGUGGUAGACGAAGAGAAAGCAUAAAAUGAAGAAGAUGAGUACUCGAGAGCAAGGCUAGGUAAGCAAUCAGGAAAGGGUUCCAGGCAGUUGGCUCCAGAUUGGAAGAUUGAUACCAAAUGCUGGCUGAUUGCUCUCUUUCUCCUUGUCGGAAAACAAAGACAAGGAGAAGGACAUGGAGAAAGCAUGAUAUGAGAUACUCUUGCUUUCAACCUUUAUGAUAUGAAAUACUUUUGCUUUGAAUAGGUUGUUCGCAGGAGUAUCCCAAGGAAUGAGGAACACAGAGUGACUCGAGAGGAUUCUUUGGGAAUGCAUUUUCGGAGAUGAAGAGGUGCUGAGAGGGUGUGCUGAGAGAGUGUGCUUUUGCUGUGGAAGGCGAAGGUAGAAACUUAUAGGACUUGUCUUCA